AGAGUUUGAUCAUGGCUCAGGAUGAACGCUAGCUACAGGCUUAACACAUGCAAGUCGAGGGGAAACGACAUCGAAAGCUUGCUUUUGAUGGGCGUCGACCGGCGCACGGGUGAGUAACGCGUAUCCAACCUGCCCACCACUUGGGGAUAACCUUGCGAAAGUAAGACUAAUACCCAAUGAUAUCUCUAGAAGACAUCUGAAAGAGAUUAAAGAUUUAUCGGUGAUGGAUGGGGAUGCGUCUGAUUAGCUUGUUGGCGGGGUAACGGCCGACCAAGGCUACGGAUCCAGUAGGGGUUCUGAGAGGAAGGUCCCCCACAUUGGAACUGAGACACGGUCCAAACUCCUACGGGAGGCA
Molecule: ribosomal RNA, 355 nt
Filed under: uncultured bacterium
Lineage: Bacteria
Description: bacterial SSU rRNA
Rfam family: Bacterial small subunit ribosomal RNA
Source: RNAcentral